Molecule: long non-coding RNA, 241 nt
Organism: Cebus imitator (Panamanian white-faced capuchin)
Lineage: Eukaryota; Metazoa; Chordata; Mammalia; Primates; Cebidae
Exons: 3
Source: RefSeq, a predicted model, not a curated record
CAGAUAUGAAGAGGCAGGCAGCAGCUCGCAGUUCAGCUAGGAAGAGAAGGACACAAGGGAAGGCAUUUGCUGAGAGGAUUGUAGAGGAGAAGUCUGAUUCCAAUUCAGUCCUCUUCACCCUGAAAGGGCGUCACCACCCAGCAAGUCACACCAUCCAGAAGCCUGGGAUUAAUUGUGGAUUCUCCCCUCUUUCUCAUUUCCCACAAUGUCUACAUCAUUAGCAGGUUUUGCUGAUUCUCCC